RNAcentral lists this long non-coding RNA (6207 nucleotides) under Sus scrofa (pig). Its description in RNAcentral is "lncRNA (ENSSSCG00050040729.1)". The record is from RNAcentral. Lineage: Eukaryota; Metazoa; Chordata; Mammalia; Artiodactyla; Suidae.
GGGGAGAAAAGAGCGUGAAAGCUAAAAGACAGCAAAGUCAAAGGCAUGAGAAAGGAGAGGCAAGUUGAGUUAGGAGACCAGUUAGGAAGAGGAGAGGUGCUCUGAACCCUGUUAAUUUGUGCAGAUGCAGGGUUGCUUAUACUUAGAUUGCUUUCCUGGGUCCCUGGAAGGGGGGUGGACUUCGGUCUCAGUUCUUUCACUUCCACCCUCUCUGUCUUCAUGUUCACAAAGACUUCUAUCCUAAGUGAUCGCAACGGUCUAUUACAGCUUUCUCGAGGUCUUUCAUUAGAAUCCAACUGUUGCUGGCCUGAUAUAAAUGGGCAACAACUGUGCAUUUAUAGGCAGCAAUCCGUGGCUUAUGCUGAAGAGAAUGUUUUAUAUAUCUGUAAGGUGCUAUCAUCUCUUUGCGCACCAAGAACGGCUUCCUUGGAAUGGCCAGGUAAAUUGACAGUCACUCAUUUCCGUAGUGCCUUUGGACAUGUUCCAAGCUGUGCUCUGGGACUAAAUAGAGACUCCUAUUGCUUGUGGAAAAGGUCUUGGGACCCAGAUAGAACAACUCAGGUCAAAUAAAGUUGGAGAAAAAGAGCAACUCCAUCGAGAGGCUAUACCAGCAAUUUGACCAUUUAAAAAGAAAAGUAAAUACUGCACUGAUGGAUAUUGUGAAGAAAUGCUUUAGGUAAGCUGAACUAUUCUCUUAAGAAAAUACCAAUUGACAUACAUGAGAUAGUUGCAGAAUAAAAGCGAAAAGAAAGAAAAGAUACUGAUGCUUUCCUCUUGUGUAGUAGCGAUCGAAUCAGAAUGGUGCAUCCUCCAGAUGGUGAUUUAGCAGUUUUGCUGCAAGAUAAAGAUGAAAGAGUUUCAAAAUAGGAAUGAGAAAGGGAUCCCUAAAUACUAUGCUCUUUCUACCUGGGAUCCAGUUUAAGGAAAAAGCAGAUUAGCAAGCCAAUGAAAUCCUUAUCAUUAAAGCUGGUUUCAUAGUCUCUGUAAAUCCCAGAACUAAGAAAAAAAAAACCUGAAGAGGGAAUACUUAUUUAAUGAAUAACAUAUUAUCUUUCUCCAUGUCCUUUGAAAGGAAUAACAUAGAAGUUUAUAUUCUUCAUUCCACAAGUCAGUGGUUCCAGGAUGUGGUUCCCAGGUCAACAACAAAAUCACUUGGAACUUGUUCAAAAUGCAAAUUCUGUGCCUCUAUUGCAGGACUGGAAACUCAGGGCAGGGUCCCAGCAAUAACAAGUUAACAAGCCCCCAAGUGUUUCUGACAACUGCUAAAGUUUGAGAUCUAUUGCCAUAAAUCAUGUCCACAUUCCAUGUUUAAGCCUUUCUGCACAUUGUGUAAGAUGGAAAAUAUCAUAUAACUGGGCUCGAUGUGUUUAUAAUUUACACUUCAAGAGACUUAUAACUAGGGGCUUGUACUGACACCUCCCUCACUGUAGCAAUACUGAUGUUUGCACGACAAUGUCCUAGAAGACUUUUCAAGCAAUGGAGAACAUGGGUGUGAAAAGUAAGAGAGAGUUUUAUCACUCAAAAUCAUCCCAUUAUCCAAAAUAAGUGAAAUUUCUGGGACUUAUUUCUGGGGGUCAUCCUUUUCAUUGAAAGUGGGACAAGAGAGCGAUCAUUUUAAUCAAAUGCACACUGAAGCAACAUGAAUGCAAAGAGGUUUUGGCUCUCUGGUAGACAGGUUUGUGAUUGGAAAGUGGCUCGUGGAAGAGCAUUUGUCAUGUUGACAUUGCAUAUAUACUUGUCUCUGGUAUCCAGGGGACUGGCUCCAGGACCCCUGCAGAUACCAAAAUCCUUGGAUGCUCAAGUCCCUUGUAUAAAACCCAUAGCAGAGUCUGUUUUCCCUGCCACGCCAGUUUCCUGCCUCCAAGAUUCAACCGACCUCAGAUGAAUUUCCCAUCAAUUUGUGGCCAAGAAACCUGCCAAUAGAAGGGCUGGCUCUACUCACUACUUUCUUUCUUAUUUAUGACUUUUCAUGAUUUUCCCCUUAAUUUCCUGUCUUUUAAGAGUGUGACAAUUCUGGGAGUUUUUCCUCUCCCAGAUCCUCCCAGGGUGCUCCAUUAUAUUUCAAUUUACUUAAAACUUCAAAGGGAUUUUUUUUUUUUUUUUGCACUUUGGGAGAACGGUUUAAUAUUCUUUGAAACAUUAAGACUCACAUCUUAUACCAUAAAACAGUCCUUCUAAAGUGGAUAUUAUUGUAUUUAGGACGUUGUGUGACCAUCACGAUGACUUCUAUAGCUGGAAGUGCAGCAGGUUCCUUUUCUUUCAUUCCUGUGAAGCAUGUUGCUUCUCUUCAGAACCCUCAUGACGAAGCUUCAGAGCGGGCAGCGAGGUCAGGUCCGUGGGACAGCACCUUGGUUAUAAAUUCCCGAGAAGCUGUGAGUGAAUCUGAAAAACACAAGAACAUCCUCCAGAUGAUGAGCAGCUUUAUGGUCAGUCCUCAGUAGCCACAGGUUUCACAUCCAGGGAUUCCACCAACCACAUAGCAACACUUGAUUUUGACACAUGCAGGUGCCUUUGAACAUAACAUUGUCUUUACAACAAUUUACUUAGAAUGUCCACUUAUGAGGCAUAGUAAAUAACCCAGACAGUAUUGAAAACGUGUGGGAGGAUGUGUGUAGGUUAUAUCCAAAUACUACCCCGUUUUAUAAAAGGGUCUUUUGAGCAUCAUGUUUUGGUAUCCAUGGGCAUCCUGGAACCAAUCCCUUUGGGUACCACAGCAAGCGGCUGUCCUUGGCUUCUUAAUUUCUGUAGUACUUGAACACAGACAUUCCAGAUGAUAAAAUGAACGGGCACCAUCUUCACUCCUCUGUUGGCAUAGAAGCUCAAGAUUUUAGAGAAAUGCCAGUCUUAAACUUCACAGAAAGAAGAGUAAAAAUGAAGAGGCCCCAAACUUAGCUCCUUUUCCAGAUGUUAGUAUCUAGUUCUUAUCUACCAGGGAAGGAAGCCUCCAAGAAUCAGGGGCACCUUGGGAAGGAAGUGCCCCGAGGCACAAGCGUUGGGUCUGCAGCCAGAGGAAGGGAGACCGUAGUACCUGCUUCCUGCCUUCCCCCCGCCAGCCUCUCACCUCAUAUCUUUCCUGAUCCAGAUCUCCCACCCCAGGAGCUACGAUCUGUGAUCCUGCCAACUCUCAUCUGAACAAAUUACUGUCAGCUUUGAUCCUGCCUCACUGAGGCAGGUUAUCUUCUCUGAAUCUGGAUGAGGCGGGCCCCUUGGAGGAAUCCUGCAAACACAGUCAAGACAUCAGAGCGUUUCUCAGUCUUCAUGGAGGCCAGUCAGCCAGAUACGGUACAAUGCAGCCACCUGCGACGUAGAAGCAGAGGGAGAUCCAUUUUGAUGAAACACAGAGAGAGGGUGGUUUAACUGUAAGGUAAAUGAACAGAGAAAUAUAAACAUGGCUGACUUUGCUGUCUGGCAUCUGAGGCAUACAUAAGAGCAAUUACUCCAAAGGUUUGAUCAACAUAUGCAGCUGCAGAGUCAUCCCAACCUCCAGGAGGACCAGGAUGUCAGCAUUCAGAGCCCCACCCCAAAGCCAAGCUGGGUGCCUGACUGCUGCUGUGUUAGGGCUACCUGACAGCUGUGUAUCUCAGCCCUUCAUCUUCCAUGCAGGGCGCAAGAAACCGAAGGCUGCUCCUUUGCCCAACUCAGACACCCUGGCGCCACCCCAGGGACCAAAGUCCUUUUAUCUCUAAUCAGAGGAGAAUUUCAAAGGGUGUGGACGUUAACAACACGGAUUGUCAUUAUUUGGGUGACAGCGGGAUUAGGGAACAUAUCCGUCUAAUGGUUUUCCAACCUGAUAAAAGAGAGAAAGUAGCAUAUCAUAGAAACUUAGCAAAAUUAAAAAUUAAAUACAUUUAUGGAGAGCUUAAUAUGAGGCAGACAUCAUUCAAUUACUCCCAAGUUUCCAUUUUUAAGACGUGUUUAAAGAUGCAUUUUUCUAGUGGUCUUUGUGUUGGCAGAAGGGUCUUUUUCUAAGAACUAACUGAAUGUUAUUUAUUGGACACCCGAGAAUCAUCACAAAUGUUUAUUUCUUUGUCGGCUCAUUUAUUCAUACAGCCCUCAACUGUGAGGGAGCUUCCGCCACAGUCUCUGGCCUGUGCUGGUUGGCGAGGAGCAGCCAAGGGCUCCCAAGUAGGGAACUCCAACAUCACUCUAGGAAGUGCAGGCAGGUCCUAAAGUUCCCUAAGACGCCCCCCAUCCCCUGUCCCCUUGCUGACUGGCUUCUCUGCCCGAAAUAGUUGAGCUAUUAAUCACUGGCACUAUAUGACAAGAGAUAGCAAUGAUUCACAUUUUCCCUCCCAAUCCAAGGAAACAAUGUACAAUCUCAAAGCUCAAUUUUAGGAGACCCAGUUGCGGCUCAGUCAGUUAGGAACCCGACUAGUAUCCCUGGCCUCGCUCAGCUCAGUGGGUUAAAGGAUCCAGCAUUGCCACAAGGUCGCAGAUGUGGCUUGGAUCUGGCAUUGCUGUGACUGUGGUGUAGGCCAGCAGCUGCAGCUCCAAUUCAACCCCUAGCCUGGGGACUUCCAUAUGCCACCCUGAAAAGAAAAGAAAAAAAAACAUUAAAAGCUCAAUUUUAGGAGUUCCCAUAGUGGUGCAGCGGAAACGAAUCCCAACAGGAAUCAUGAGGUUGCGAGUUCAAUCCCUGGCCUCGCUCAGUGGGGUAAGGAUCUGGCCUUGCGGUGAGAAAAAAAAAAAAAGUUCAAAUUUAUAUUGAAAAAAUAUUUCCCCCAGCUUUACAUUUUUAAUAAUUUUUUUUUGAAUCCAUAAGAAGCUUUUAUUUAUUUAUUUAUUUGUCUUUUUUUUUUUUUUUUUUUGCUUUUUCUAGGGCUGCUCCCACGGCAUAUGGAGGUUCCCAGGCUAGGGGUCUAAUCGGAGCUGUAGCCACCGGCCUACUCCAGAGCCACAGCAACGCGGGAUCCGAGCCGCACCUGCGACCUGUACCACAGCUCAUGGCCACGCCAGAUCCUUAACCCAGGGAGCAAGGCCAGGGACCAAACCCGCAACCUCAUGGUUCCUAGUCAGAUUCGUUAACCACUGCGCCACGACGGGAACUCCAGAAGCUAUUAUUUAAAUACAAUUUAGAAAAUAGAUAUAUCUUUUUUUAAACAUCAUUCUCCCAUUUCUACUUUGAAAAUGUAGGGAUUUAAUGCCGGGCAGUAAUGGAUUUAAAUAUAAGUGUAGAGGGGUCACUGUGACACAACUUCUUCCUAAGUGUAUAUGAUGAAUUCGUGGUGUAAGAUAGUUCCUAAAGGCCUGUGCUGCUGCAUCAUAUUUUAACCUUUAGCUUUAUGACAGAACAAACACAUUAACUAUAGUCUUAUUCCCAGUGCGUUUGCAGUUGUCAGAGUCUCUCAUAACAUCCUGGAAUCUUCAAUCAUCCCUCUGGAGAACACGUGUCCUAUUCAGGCACAGUCAUGUGCUCCAGCUUCUUCUGAGCGAGGAUGCUGGGCUGCUGGGAGUCAUCUGUCUUCUUUAAUAUUAACAUUUACAUUUUUUAACUUAUUUUUAUGGUUGCCACCGAGGCAUAUGGCUCUUCCCGGGCUAGGGAUCCAAAACGUGCCUCCACAGCGACUGGCGCCCCUGCAAGCGGAUUCUUCAUCGACGGCACCAUAGCAGCAACUCCAACACUAACGUUUUUCAUAAGGUCCCUCCCACUGCUGCACCUACUAAAAUAGCACGUUGAGGUUUGAAUAUAGUGCUGUAUUUAGUCUGAAUGUAUGAGGACCCCCCCCCCCCAGGGCACAAUAAGGUACAGUCAACUCUCUCCCCUUUCAGACUAUGCAUCCAGUCCUAUGAAGCAUGGAGCUGGAGGGUCAGAUGUAGCCAGUCUGAAUUUAUAAACAUCCCUAAGGGAUGUAAGCAAAAUGACUUACAACUAUAGUCUAUUUGCAGGAAUCAUCACAAACUGAUAUAAGAAUGCUUUCCAGGAGUUCCCCUGGAGGCUCAGUGGGUUAAGAACCCUACUAGUAUCCAUGAGGAUGCAGGUUUGCUCUUGGUCAGUGGGUUAAGGAUUCUGCAUUGCUGAAAGCUGGCAGUAGGUCCCAGAUGUGGCUCAGGACUGGCAUGGCUGUGGCUGUGGUGUAGGUUGCAGGCGUGGCUUGGAUUGGGUGUUGCUGUGGCUGUGGUGUAGGCCAGCAGCUGCAGCUUCAAUUCAACCCUUAGCAUGGCAACUUCCAUAAGCCGCAAACGCAGACCUAUGAAACAAGGAAGGAA